AGAAGAGCCAUAAUUUCCAUCACGUACUGUAUCGCUGAAGAGAUUUAUGCGUCGUGUAAUAAUUCGUCACGGGCGAGUUAAGGGUGCACGAAAAUCCUAAUUGGCUCUCGGGUUCGCGCACGCCCCGGUCCCGUUUAAUUUAUGUGCGCCCGGUUUCGUGGCCUUUUCAUUUCGGAUCGCGCGCAGUCCGCACACUCGUAAAGAUAUUGUUGCCAGGCACGGCUUUAACAGCUUAAUGACGGCGGUAACGAGCAACGGCGAUGCUUGCACGUCGCGCGACGCGUAUCCGGCUACCGGGUCAGCAGUGCCAUACUUGGUCUCUCAAGAAAGCCAGUUCUCGGCUUGCACUUCUCCCGCUCCCCCACAAAGUCAAAGUGAAAUUCCAAUGAACCUUAAUUUGUUCGCCAGACAUGUCUGGAAUUCCUCUUCCGCGCCUCUCGCUCGGGCUGCCUGCCCGGUUUACUGAACUUCAUUUUCGAAGGUGAAACUUUAUGCUCGAUAGAACUAAUCGUUCUCACCGAACGCUCUGUUCGGUGCUCUACGCGCUCAGCUCGCUCUACACGCACGCACGCAGUCUCGUUCACUUUUCACUUCCUUCCAUACCUGUUUCGUAGUUACGUUAAACGUAGGUUUUAUGCAUAGUUAACGUGUCGUAAGUUCCUUUAAGUAUCUCAAAUCUCUUUUUUUUUUAACGUAGCUUUUUGCGCAAUGUCCGACUUUUAUCAAUGUUUAUCGAAAAUAAUCUAUAUAUAUUCUAAGUCGUUCCCUGAGAAUUAAAUUACCCAUGAAAUAUUCCUGCAAACGUAAAAAAAGGUGAGAAAAUAGAUUAGAAUGUCGUAUACAGCUUCCUGAUUUUACGUCGUAUGUAUGAAGUUUAUAGCUUACUUAUAGUCGGUUUAAAUUCACGAUUAUAUAAGAUGACAAUAGCCCAACUUUCAUACCGCAACCAUAAAGAGAUUUCCAUAGAUCUUCAAGAUAUUGAGGACGAAUACUUAAUUGAAGUCUUACGUGCGGUCUUACGAGCAAUCUUAAAACCGCGAAGCGCUUGUCAUACAGCGGCAAUUCCUUUUUCUCACUUGGUACCGAGAAAGAUUUAUCGCGUAGCAUGCAAAUUAAUGCCGUCGUAAAAUCUACUCGCCCGAUGAUCGCUGCUGAUAGACGCAGGAGAAACUGAGAUGACGCUUUUGCAUAACUAUGCACGAGGAAUGUGAAAUUCUGAAUUUGUUCCAAGAGAAAUUCCUCACUUUGAAUAGCCGUCUCUCGUGUUAAUCACGAGCAAACGCGCGACUAUUCCGUAUCUGAAAAAUCGGAGAAAAAAAGUUUAAAUCCCGAUUUCGACACAUCAAUCAAUCAGAAAAACUGCAGUCAAGAAAACAAAUUCGGCAUUACACAAUUAUCGAAUUCCACUGUCGUUUUCCUUUUGCUAUUAAAGCAUAAUGAGUGAAGGCUAACGAGAUUCAAAGUUCUUUGUCAAGUUUCUCCGCUAUUCUGUAACGUCCGUUCUUAUUAAGACAUGGUACCAAGUAUUCCUCGAGUCCCAUUAAGUUAUGGCUUAAUUAUUCAGUCGGCUGCACCUCGUUUAUGGUUUCGAAAGUGCAAACAACGCUUCCAAUCACGCGGGCAGUCGGGCGUUUCGCCUCAAAGUUCUCACUCGCGAUCUUCUAAUGAUUCUUGUAAUGAUUCGGCAGCGACGAGCGGCUAAAUCGGUCGCUGAACGUAAAUCAGUCCAGCACAUAGAAAUUAGUAGUAAGGGGAUACUCGUUAGACGAUAAGUAUUUCCAAUUCGCUUUCACCGACGACGACAAGCUGUUCGGAGGCAAUUUUGCAAUUUACGACAGGAUCGGUCGUGGGAACACCAAGGAGACAUUGUUAUGUGACAGGUAUGAUGGUCAGUGAUCAUUCCGCGUGAUGACAAGUGACGUUGCGAGUGCUGUCAAGCUCUAAAUUUCAGAUCUGCAAUUAUUGAGAAACGUUCAAUUACAGUAAGCAUUGGGUAUAAAUUUUCAAUGUGACAUGAGAAUCUCUCUGGUUAUAAUUCAAUAAGUUUCUAAUGUAUGGCCAGUAAACAUAUUACAUAAAUAAUUCACGGUACGCACGGUACGCGUUUCUAAGUCAAUUCGAAUAAAACCUAUGAAUGAUUUCUUGGAACGCAGAUUAAUUGCAAGUGUCUUGUAUUUCGAAAUGAUUCACGAUUAUUCUAUAUAUCGCUCAAUUUAUCGAUGAAUGGAGAUACAUUAUUACGGUGACGUGUUUUUAUAGUACACGUUCUAAUGAGGAGAGAGACACACAAGAUAGAGAGAAAUGGGUGCCGCUUUCAGUAGUUGAGUGGCCGGCCUACUCUGUCAUUUCAUUUACAAGUACGUACGAUUUUACGUGCCAGCGAAUUUGGGUCGUAGAGAACUAUAUCGCGCGCGCGCACCAAACAACAAGUUGAUAGUAUUGCGCAAUUAACGAUACGCGAACCGAUAAAGGCGUUUGUGAUCGCCGCCGGUGGGAAUGCGACUUACGUUUCCACGUAACAGAAAGGCUCAUUAUAGUUUUCUUAAAUUACGGCGCUACGUUGGCUGCGAUUGCGACUAACGAGAAGAAAAAGAAAAGAAUUGGCGAGCACGGUCGACCGAUAGAACUCGUGAGUAAAAUCUGUAAACUGGGUGGCUUCGUGCUUCCUUGUUUAUUGAUUCUCUGUAUUAAUCACAAUUCUAAUCAACUAUAUUUUAAUGAAAGUUUAAUGGAACGUCGCGUUAUUCUUAAAUUUUCCAACAUUAGAUAUACACGUGGAAAUCCAAAAUGAAAUUUUCUUGAGAAAUCAUUACGCUAUCACAUCUCGUUUACAUAUUAAUUUUGUUUUACUUGCAUGUACAUUUAUAGAUAUUUAUAAACAAGUUUAUUAUAAUGCAAUCUCUUUUGGAUUUACUUUCUUAACGUUGUCAAGUUUCUGAUUAAAGCAAUGAUAACGUCGAUCUGGUGGUACGCCGAUUAUGAAAGUGAGAAAACGCAUAACAAAAUUGUACGUGAAUUAUACGAUAUUAAAUGUAACUAUUUCGACCCGGCGAGUUCUCACGCACCGCAGGUAGCUAAGGCUCGACGUGAAAGAAUUUCUGCUCACGACGGUUCUAACGCUGGCCUAAGGAUCCCGACAGCGACCUAAACGCGCAGCACUCACGGCAAAAAGGGAAGGGAAAAGGAAGGAAGAUUUCCACCUCUAGACGAGGCCUCAGUUAGAGGAUUAAUAUUUCCUGAAUGAGAUAACAUCGGAGCUACGGAAUGAGAAUCACUAGAAACUGCUAUCUAAAAUAACUUCCCAGUCUCGAACCUCUCAUUUAUACAGUAACUAAAAAAAAUAAUUAUGCGUACUUUCCCAUCUGAGAACAAUUAAAAACAUAUAUGUUAAUUAUUUUGAAACAUUUUAAAACAAAUGCCGAUAAGAAAUAAUCCAGUAAUACAAAUACAAAUGAGGAAAUUAUAAAACCAGUGCUAUUA
Molecule: long non-coding RNA, 3480 nt
Organism: Ooceraea biroi (clonal raider ant)
Lineage: Eukaryota; Metazoa; Arthropoda; Insecta; Hymenoptera; Formicidae
Source: RefSeq, a predicted model, not a curated record